UUUUUUUUUUUAUCAAUUUAUCAUUUCCGAUGCAGGCUCAUAUUUUUCCCCAUGAGAUAGAUAUAUUCUCCGUUUUCUGCUGGUUAUAUUUCUAUGGGCAUGAAAAGGGGAAGCAGUUUCCCCUGACGUAACGGAUGACGUGCUUCUUAAUUAUUUUAUAUUUUGUAGUUAUUAUUAUUAUUAUUAUUGUUAUUAUUGUUGUUGUUAUUCAUUUAAACUCUUAGUCAGCGGCCAUUCCCCAUUUGAGUGCGUUUUCAUUGACGACCCACUCAGACACUAAUUCGUGUGAUAAUGGCUUUCAGCUGUGCUAUAUCGUCACCUUUUACCAUGGUCUGUAGGGUCGACCGUUUGUCGACCGGACUGCUGAUGAUGAUUUUCAUGCAAGCAGACUACCAUAAAUUGAUUCUCGCCAUCAUGGCAUUUCGUUAGAUAAUAUAUCGCUGCAAAUUUAUAAUCAUUUUAUUUUUAACGAACGGGGUUUCUUGUCUUAGCAUAUCUACCUAUUUCUACGUUCGCAAUUUGUUCAAAGAUUCAGGAUAAUCGUUGAAGUAAUUCGAGGGAAAUAAAAGAAACUACAAUACAGAGUUGUGAGCCUUGAGUGAGGUCUGACAAACAGGCGAGUCACGGAAAAUUUUCAAGUGUACAGCAUCGCAGUACUUGGAAUACCGAAACCUCAGCACGUACGCUGGAAGAUCUUGAAUUUAGAUUGACUGACAGGCAAUACUGAGCAACCUAUGUUACGUCGUACUCGUACAGCAUCAUCAAACGAUGAAUUAUUGGAGAUCUGAAAAUGUCACGUGCAUGUGUAGCCAAGAUUUGGCAGUAUGGAGAACGUCGAUUGCAUUUUUUACUGGAGAAUGAUAAAUUCGCGUCAAGUUCAUCGGCUGGAAGUCUUCAACACGAACGCCUGAUGUCGAGCAGCACAAGAUGAAUGAACACUGCAAAUCACACGGAUUUCAAUGGAAGAAGGUCCUGAAUAAGUGGCACGGAAGACAUAUAACAGUGAUCAAGCGUUUAUCGUUAAACUGAGCAGAUUCAAAAUAUCUGAAAAUGUGCUUAAACGAUUUGCUUGGGAAACCACGUUCAGUUCAAUUUAGUUAACGUUAGUUGGAUCGUGGAGGUGAAAAUUUAUGUGCGUGAUAUUGAUAGGUGUUAAUUAGUUGAUUAGUUAGUACGUUACCCUAUAAUCUGCAUAGUAUCAUCAAUCAUGUAUUUCUAAUUACAUAUUUUGUACUGAUAUGAAUAUGGGAAAUGAUGCCAAAACUGUGUUGUAUGAAUGCUCUCUGAUUAAUUAUUGAUACGAAGGUCGCGACGAGUCUGGAAACGCGUCUCAAACUGAUUCUAGGACCAUUGGUUCUUCGCCGCAAAAGACACGGAAUGAAUCGAACACCUGUAAGAUUUUUACGGACAAAGUUUAGCUACUUAUUUUUUUCGAUAGAGAACCGUUGCGUAGUCUGAGCUCGCCGCGAACGGCGUAUUACAAUAUGUCGUGAUUUUUGCCCAAAAUUUUGACGAUUUUUGAUAACGCUGGAAACAAUUCUUUCAUGCACUUUCAUACACACGUAAUUUUGAGAUAAAAAUCGAUUGCGCGCAGUCCGAACACGCCGCGCGCAAUGGGUCAAGAGAUUCAGCCGACAAACAAGAAAAUCUUGCGGUAUUAUCAGUUGUUGGUCCUUUGCGAUUGUAUAUACCCAUUCUUCAUUUUGGAGGGUCCGAUAAGAGUACAAACUUCGCAAAGACAGCAAGUUUUACCUAACAAAGAACGGUUCAGAAGUACCAUUCAAAAUACAAAGAAAAUUUUGGCUGGGUCUCGACAAGGUGAUAGAGAAAAGUCAUAAAUUCAUAGCUCAAAGUUUCGAUUUAUUCAGUAUGACUUAAUUCUAGUACAAGUGUUCCUGUGUCAGUGUGUAGUUAUUUAACACGUUAACAGAUAGAGCUAGAGUAAAAGACUAAGGAAAAGCUAUAAUAUCAUUGAAUAUAUGAUAAGUAAUCUAAUUAUUGGAUGAGAAAAUAUGUGUGCAAUAUACACUGUCAUGGGCAGACCAUGAAAAAUAUUAUAUCGGAUGAUUAUAAUCAUAGUUUGAGUACACAGCUCAAAUUUCGGCAGAGGUACGCUAGCGAGGAAUGUCUGCACGAACGAUGAAUGUUGUAUAAUAUUGUAUGG
Molecule: long non-coding RNA, 2164 nt
Organism: Neodiprion fabricii
Lineage: Eukaryota; Metazoa; Arthropoda; Insecta; Hymenoptera; Diprionidae
Exons: 3
Source: RefSeq, a predicted model, not a curated record